CUCAAAAACAACGAUCAAAGGUCUGUGGAACAUGUGGCUUGUAUGCUCAGCUGUCAGGGCUGGGCAGCCACAGCUGCUUGUGAUGUCCACACCCCGCUUCCACCCUGGGGGGAGGGGCAGGAGUUCUGCAACAGUUUCAUUAUUGUUACUGUUUCCAGUGUGCACAGUUCCUUCUUAUGUCCACUUAGGAAAGGGCAGAUGGAUGAUCCGAAUUGGUCCUCUAGCACUGUUUGAUGACUCCCCCCUCUGCCUCGAGCUCCAGGAUGGGAUUUUGAUUGUAUACAUUUGUCUUAGUCAUUCAGUUUCCUUGGUGAUGCGAUUAGAGACCACAGAGAGCAUCA
RNAcentral lists this long non-coding RNA (341 nucleotides) under Rattus norvegicus (Norway rat). Its description in RNAcentral is "long non-coding RNA NONRATT004481". The record is from RNAcentral. Lineage: Eukaryota; Metazoa; Chordata; Mammalia; Rodentia; Muridae.